RNAcentral lists this non-coding RNA (1105 nucleotides) under Folsomia candida. Its description in RNAcentral is "Eukaryotic small subunit ribosomal RNA". It matches the Rfam family "Eukaryotic small subunit ribosomal RNA", at positions 4 to 1116 of the family's 1831-position model. The record is from Rfam by way of RNAcentral. Lineage: Eukaryota; Metazoa; Arthropoda; Collembola; Entomobryomorpha; Isotomidae.
CUGGUUGAUCCUGCCAGUAGUCAUAUGCUUGUCUCAAAGAUUAAGCCAUGCAUGUCUAAGUUCAAGCGAAAAUAAAGUGAAACCGCGAAUGGCUCAUUACAUCAGUUAUGGUUCCUUAGAUCGCACUUACUACUUGGAUAACUGUGGUAAUUCUAGAGCUAAUACAUGCGCUGAGCUCCAACCCUCGUGGAAGGAGCGCUUUUAUUAGAUCAAAGCCAAUCGGGCCUUCGGGUCCGUUACAUUGGUGACUCUGAAUAACUUUGCUGAUCGCACGGUCUCGUACCGGCGACGUAUCUUUCAAGUGUCUGCCUUAUCAACUGUCGAUGGUAGGUUAUGCGCCUACCAUGGUGGUAACGGGUAACGGGGAAUCAGGGUUCGAUUCCGGAGAGGGAGCCUGAGAAACGGCUACCACAUCCAAGGAAGGCAGCAGGCGCGCAAAUUACCCACUCCCAGCUCGGGGAGGUAGUGACGAAAAAUAACGAUACGGAACUCUUAUGAGGCUCCGUAAUCGGAAUGAGUACACUUUAAAUCCUUUAACGAGGAUCUAUUGGAGGGCAAGUCUGGUGCCAGCAGCCGCGGUAAUUCCAGCUCCAAUAGCGUAUAUUAUGUUGCUGCGGUUAAAAAGCUCGUAGUUGGAUCUCGGUUUCGGGCGAGUGGUGCACCUUGCGGUGUUUACUGUUUGCCCGGACGAUCUUGUUGGUUCGUUAUGGUUCUCUUAACCGAGUGCCAUAAGUGGCCAGCACGUUUACUUUGAAAAAAUGGAGUGCUCAAAGCAGGCGCUACAGCCUGAACAUUAGUGCAUGGAAUAAUGGAAUAGGAUCUCGGUUCUAUUUCGUUGGCUUUCGGAGUCGAGGUAAUGAUUAAUAGGACAGACGGGGCAUUCGUACUGCGACGUUAGAGGUGAAAUUCUUGGAUCGUCGCAAGACGAACUACUGCGAAAGCAUUUGCCAAGAAUGUUUCAUUAAUCAAGAACGAAAGUUAGAGGUUCGAAGGCGAUCAGAUACCGCCCUAGUUCUAACCAUAAACGAUGUCGACCGGCGAUCCGCUAUCGUUAACUGAAUGACUUAGCGGGCAGCCUCCGGGAAACCAGAGUAUUUGGAUUCCG